Molecule: transfer RNA, 76 nt
Filed under: Clostridium sp. ATCC 29733
Lineage: Bacteria; Bacillati; Bacillota; Clostridia; Eubacteriales; Clostridiaceae
Also listed under: 10 other names
Description: tRNA-Phe
Rfam family: tRNA
About the family: Transfer RNA (tRNA) molecules are approximately 80 nucleotides in length.
Source: RNAcentral
GCCUCUGUAGCUCAGUCGGUAGAGCAGAGGACUGAAAAUCCUCGUGUCAUUGGUUCGAUUCCGAUCGGAGGCACCA